Molecule: ribosomal RNA, 406 nt
Filed under: uncultured bacterium
Lineage: Bacteria
Description: partial 16S ribosomal RNA
Rfam family: Bacterial small subunit ribosomal RNA
Source: RNAcentral
AUCGAACGCUGGCGGCAGGCCUAACACAUGCAAGUCGGGCGAGCGGCGGACGGGUGAGUAAUGUAUGGGGAUGUGCCUGAGGGAGGGGGAUAACUACUGGAAACUGUGGCUAAUACCGCAUACUUUCGGAUGAGCCCAUAUGGGAUUAGCUAGUGGGGGGGGUAAAGGCUCACCUAGGCGACGAUCACUAGCUGGUCUGACAGGAUGAUCAGCAAAACUGGAACUGAGAAACGGCCCAGCCUCCUACGGGAGGCAGCAGUGGGGAAUAUUGCACAAUGGGCGCAAGCCUGAUGCAGCCAUGCCGCGUGUAUGAAGAAGGCCUUAGGGUUGUAAAGUACGUUCAGCGGGGAGGCGUUACCUGCCGAAGAAGCACCGGCUAACUCCGUGCCAGCAGCCGCGGUAAUAC